Molecule: long non-coding RNA, 1702 nt
Organism: Oryzias melastigma (Indian medaka)
Lineage: Eukaryota; Metazoa; Chordata; Actinopteri; Beloniformes; Adrianichthyidae
Exons: 2
Source: RefSeq, a predicted model, not a curated record
GUGAAAUGUUUGUGUUAAUUAAAUUUUCACUUUGUAAAGUCCGGUGACAUCAUACCUGCUGCUUAGGGGAAAAAAAGUAGCGAGCAUGAUGUCUGAAUUGCUUUUAAAAUUCAGAACAAUAUAUACAGUGCACUAUAUAGUUUUUUAGUAGUUAGGGAUUAUAGCGGGAAUUUAGACAUAGCACAUAUUUACCCCAUAACUCUUCUUUUGAAGGGCUGAAAUGCAGGGGUAGGGGAAGAGCCUAACCGCAUAGAGUAUGUACUUAUUUCAUGCACAUCUUUACACUGAAAAAAGGGGGAAAGUGGGGUUGUUCAAUUUACAAGUAAUAAACAUGUGUCUAAAACAUGAUCUAGUCAUGUUUACCUUCCAAACAUAUUCCAAUCUUGUAGAUCACACUUAAUUUCUGGCAAUAUGACAUUUACAUAUUUAAAUCAUCUUGAUAAAACAUGAAAUAAUCAUGUUUCGCUCUUUGCCCCUUAAUUUUAAAUAUGUAAACCCCGUCUGCCGAGGAGCAAGUUGCCCCUUAAUUUUAAAUAGGUAAACCCCGUCUGCCGAGAAGCUAGUUGCCCCUUGAUUUUAAGUACGUAAACCCCGUCUGCCACGGAUCAUUCCAGAAAAGAUUUGUUGGAGUCAGCCAUUUUAUACAAACAAUAAGCAGCUAUUCAUCAAAGUCACUUAUAAAAGGUAAGUUUAAUUUACUUUAACUUUGUCCUCAUGUGGAACAAAGGGCAAUCACUUAUCCCACUGUGUGUGUGUGUGUGGGUGUGUGUGUGUGUGUGUGUGUGUGCGCGCGUGUGGGGGGUACAGCAGAAGGGUGGGCAACCUCUGAUCAAUAAAAUUGCAGGUUCGAUUCCUGCCUUGCCCGUCUAUGUGUCCUUGUGCUAGACACUGAACCCCACAUUGCCUCUGGUGGAAGGUUGGCACCAGUGUUUGAAUGGGACUGUAACUUUAAAGUGCUCUGGGCUUUAUCACAUUAAGAAUAGUAUGAUUUUGUUAACCCAGUAACUUAAACAUUUAUUAGUUAUUUAAGGGUAAGAAUUAUAUAUAUUUUAAAGUUUGUUUGUGAAUUCCUAAUUUGUUCACUCUUUGUAUUCCAGACUGUUGAGUUUCUUAUCACUGUCAGCAAGUGCAAAGGUUUGUUCAAAGGCUCUGUAGUACAGAAUGAAGACCAUCCAGGAGGCAAUCGAGGACACCAUGGAGGGAAUUUUCCACUAAAUGGCAUGUGGCAGUGGUGAGGAAAAGGACAUUCUUGUGAUCCUUGAAGUCCAGGCUGUGGUGGACAACCUACCAAGUGUCGGAGUGGCAGUUGCCAUGCUGUUUGGCCUUAUUUACAACCUUAAUAUGGAUCACCGUCCUCAUCUCAGAUACACCUUUGAGGUAAUCUGGAAAAUUGUAAUGGAGUUAGAGGGCAGAGUUAUGUCCAAAAGGGUGGAGAUCUUUGAGAUGCGACUCUUCAAAUAAAAUUAACACAGUUCACGGUUCACCAAGGAUGGAAUCCAGCUGCUUGCUUUGGCUAUUUCUCUUAUGUUCUGUUUAACAAAAAACGGCAAACCUCAUAAAUGUUGAUUUGUACUAUUUGCAUAGCUGUAAUCAUAUUUUUCAAGUUGAAAUAAAAAACAGGUUGAUACUUAAACUUGUUGUGUUGUAUUUGAUUGCUGUAAUGCAUGAGGUUUUAAAAAGAAAUAAAAUCAAUGUUUUUAUA